AAUGAGAAGAUAAAAAUCCAGGUUAUCAUUAGCCACAUUCACUGGUCAAGAAAAAGGCCUUGCAGAACACAGCUGAGCAGAACCACACAGAAGUGGAAGAAGCAAAGAGGUUUCCAGAAGAAUAGGAAGGUCGGCAGAGAGUAUCCAAAUUAUUGCCCCAUGCUGCGAGAUCCCUGCUCCUAGGAAAGCCAAGGUCUGCCUUCCAAUGUGCAAUUCUAGCUUAAUAGGGAAGUUAUAUCACUGUUGACAGUCUUUUCCUUUCUUAAUAAAACUUAGGAGUUAUCCCAUAAGGAAUAUUCAUUUUCCUUCAGACAUGAAGUGACCAUUAAGAUGCGCCAGUAAAGAAUCCAUGGCCUUUAGUGUCUGGCCCUAUUUCUUCUAGUUCAAGAAUUUUAAGAAAAAAUAUUGCGAUAAAAGGUAUAUUUUUAUUAGCUAUAAA
RNAcentral lists this long non-coding RNA (439 nucleotides) under Pongo abelii (Sumatran orangutan). RNAcentral's name for it is "lincRNA". The record is from RNAcentral. Lineage: Eukaryota; Metazoa; Chordata; Mammalia; Primates; Hominidae.